GACCCCAGGUCAGGCGGGACUACCCGCUGAAUUUAAGCAUAUCAAUAAGCCCGAAGAAAUAAA
Molecule: ribosomal RNA, 63 nt
Filed under: Paeonia lactiflora (Chinese peony)
Lineage: Eukaryota; Viridiplantae; Streptophyta; Magnoliopsida; Saxifragales; Paeoniaceae
Description: partial 26S ribosomal RNA
Source: RNAcentral